UGGCUGCGGUGGGAUUAGAACCUACUCCUCCGAGGAGACUGGUGCCUUAAACCAGCGCCUUAGACCGCUCUGCCACGCUACC
Molecule: transfer RNA, 82 nt
Filed under: Araneus ventricosus
Lineage: Eukaryota; Metazoa; Arthropoda; Arachnida; Araneae; Araneidae
Description: tRNA-Leu
Source: RNAcentral